RNAcentral lists this ribosomal RNA (431 nucleotides) under uncultured bacterium. Its description in RNAcentral is "partial 16S ribosomal RNA". It matches the Rfam family "Bacterial small subunit ribosomal RNA", at positions 29 to 507 of the family's 1533-position model. The record is from RNAcentral.
AACGAACGCUGGCGGCAGGCUUAACACAUGCAAGUCGAACGCCCCGCAAGGGGAGUGGCGCACGGGUGAGUAACGCGUGGAUAUCUGCCUUUUGGUUCGGAAUAACCCCGGGAAACUGGGGCUAAUACCGGAUGGUUCCUACGGGAUAAAGAUUUAUCGCCAAAAGAUGAGUCCGCGUACGAUUAGCUAGUUGGUGAGGUAAUGGCUCACCAAGGCGACGAUCGUUAGCUGGUCUGAGAGGACGAUCAGCCACACUGGGACUGAGACACGGCCCAGACUCCUACGGGAGGCAGGAGUGGGGAAUAUUGGACAAUGGGGGCAACCCUGAUCCAGCCAUGCCGCGUGAGUGAUGAAGGCCUUCGGGUUGUAAAGCUCUUUUGGCGGGGACGAUGAUGACGGUACCCGCAGAAUAAGCCCCGGCUAACUUCGUG